UGCUAUUACUAGACGUAACAGAUAGAGAUUUUCAAUCUACAUUUAUCAUGACCUGGAAAGAAAAUGCCGAUGAAUAAGUCUGUGAUUUCUGGUGAAAUUGACGAGUGCAUUUUACUCAUCGGAACACGCACACAAGCAGGCUAUGGGGACAUUGUGGUGCUACCUGAAAACGCAAGAUCAAAAAUGGAGAACGAACAAAGUUCAUAGACUGAAGUGCAGGCUCCAUUUUGGCGCAUGGCCUGCAAGACGAGAGCAAUGAUUGAUGCCACAACAAAAAUGGCAUCAAUCAUCGGCACACCAUUUUGGAAACUGCGCAGCUCCCAUUUUGGAACGACGGGAGCUCGAACACGACGAAACAUAAACGAACAUAAUCUAAUGUCAUUGUUCGACAACAGAUGGCGCUGCAACUGGACAACAAACAUUUCCACCGACACUCAGCACUGCAGACGACAAGGGACAAAAAUAGAAGCACUGUAUAAUUAAUAUUAAUUAUCACAUCACUCAUCAGUGUAUUUGACGAUAAUUUAAUUACGAUAGCCAAAUUGUAAAUUACAUUGGAUGAUACCAACUGGAUUGAUACCUGGAUCAACUUGGGUCAAUCAGAUCAAUCAGAUCAAGAUCUCUAACGAAAUGGAAACUGGGAAUGAAGAAAUCUCAUAUUAUCACGACAAGAUAUCAAAAUUUGAUGAUCUGAAUGCGAAAUUGGAUGAGAUGAAAGACCAAAUCAUUAAGACCAAUGUGAGAUGUCAUAUGCUACAUGUCGACCUAGUGACACAAUUCAAUCCACACACGCAGGAGAUUGCUAGCCGACUGGAGCAGACUUGUGAGAAGUGCAAAGCAAAGUUAGACGCUGCCAGAGCCACGAACGGACAGUAACACACGACACGCAAACAAGUAGUUGUAAACAGAUUUCAGAUUUCUUUUAUUGAAGAAAUUUAUAAAAAGAUAUGCAGAUCCAA
Priapulus caudatus is the source of this 959-nucleotide long non-coding RNA. RefSeq lists it as uncharacterized. The transcript is spliced from 3 exons. The record is from RefSeq and is a predicted model, not a curated record. Lineage: Eukaryota; Metazoa; Priapulida; Priapulimorpha; Priapulimorphida; Priapulidae.